RNAcentral lists this ribosomal RNA (385 nucleotides) under uncultured bacterium. RNAcentral describes it as "bacterial SSU rRNA". It matches the Rfam family "Bacterial small subunit ribosomal RNA", at positions 370 to 772 of the family's 1533-position model. The record is from RNAcentral.
AAUGGGGGAAACCCUGAUGCAGCGACGCCGCGUGAACGAUGAAGCCCUUCGGGGUGUAAAGUUCUUUCGACGGGGACGAUAAUGACGGUACCCGGAGAAGAAGCUGCGGCUAACUACGUGCCAGCAGCCGCGGUAAUACGUAGGCAGCAAGCGUUGUUCGGAAUUACUGGGCGUAAAGAGUGCGUAGGCGGUUAACUAAGUUUGGUGUGAAAUCUCCCGGCUUAACUGGGAGGGUGCGCCGAAAACUGGCUAGCUAGAGUGUGGGAGAGGAUAGUGGAAUUCCUGGUGUAGCGGUGAAAUGCGUAGAUAUCAGGAGGAACACCUGCGGUGUAGACGGCUAUCUGGACCAUGACUGACGCUGAGGCACGAAAGCGUGGGUAGCAAA